AAGCCAGCUAAUGAGUCUGCUUACCUGAAUGUGUACCUGCAGAAAUUCAGAGAAUGUUGGCUAUAGUAAAGCCACGUUAUCUUUAAAGACCUGGAGGUCAUUAAGGUCCCUAAAAAUGCUAUAAGG
Molecule: small nucleolar RNA, 126 nt
Organism: Phyllostomus discolor (pale spear-nosed bat)
Lineage: Eukaryota; Metazoa; Chordata; Mammalia; Chiroptera; Phyllostomidae
Product: small nucleolar RNA SNORA33
Exons: 1
Source: RefSeq, a predicted model, not a curated record